CGGGGAGUUUUUCUUCGGCGCCAUCAUGUGUGGAGAAGUUUUACUUGGCGGCAUCUUUGGCUCUUGUUUCAAAGAAGCGAGUGAGGGGGAAGGCCCACAGGUCAGUGGUGGAAGCUAGAAAGUCCGUGUCAGCGGGAUGAUGUGUGUCUGCAGGCUGAGGCAUCUGCACUGGAGCCAGAAGCGAGGCUCACAGCAAGGACCAGAGCCCCCUAAGGAGAACCACAGCCAUUUUCAGUGAUAACAAGGUCCUGAGCUCCUUGGAUGAUGAGAGCAGCACAGUUCCCAUCAGGACAACCGGCAUGACCAGGGAGGCCAGGGACACAGUGCACAAAGGCGACACAGUUUUCCACGGGGCCACCUCCUGAUCAGGAUUCUGCAGAAGGCCAGAAUUUCUCCUGGCAGUCAGUGGGA
Molecule: long non-coding RNA, 411 nt
Organism: Chinchilla lanigera (long-tailed chinchilla)
Lineage: Eukaryota; Metazoa; Chordata; Mammalia; Rodentia; Chinchillidae
Exons: 3
Source: RefSeq, a predicted model, not a curated record